AGACCCGGAGGCGGGGCCGUCACGUGGGGCAGCGUGGGCCGCUGCCUUGGAAACGCAGAGCGCGCGCUCCAGGUAAAGGCUGCUACGCCCAGGACAGGGUUCUCACGGUGGAGGAAAGGACUUCUGCGGGAUACCACGCUGUGCGCCAAAAAGCCGGGCGGCUUCGGAGCCAGAGCAGCGGCUCUGCGGCGCAGGCGGCGGGUCGGGGCAGCCUUGAAGCCGGGAUCCGGCCCGAAGGGGUCUUUUUGGAGUUCCUGAGCUCAGUGCCCCAGAAGGCACAUACUUCAUAUGAAAUAUGAAGGAUUUCAUACUGCACAAGAAAAAGCCUUGAGAAAGACAGAAUUGCUUGUGGACCGUGCGUGUUCCACCCCACCUGGGCCCCAGACCGUGCUGAUCCUUGAUGAGCUCUCGGAUUCCUUGUGCAGAGUGACCGACUUGUGGAGGGGCUAGCCAGACAGCACAUUCAAGCUGUAUGUCCCGGGAUGAUUCCAAUGAAGGCUCUUCACAGGAACACGGAGAGAGGCCAUGCCCUGACCCUGCAGACGGAGCUGUGGACAAUGCUGUUUAAAGCCAGCAGUGGUAGCUGAAAAGUGAGAGGACGCUGAUGAAGAACAUUGCAGACACAAAGAAAAGAAAAAAGUAACCAACAUGUUUCAAAUGUUUCAAACAUAUCAAGUGAGUCUUCUGACCAUUUUGUGAAGCAAAUUUUUAUUAAACAUAUUCACUAUAAAUGUCACAA
Molecule: long non-coding RNA, 739 nt
Filed under: Homo sapiens (human)
Lineage: Eukaryota; Metazoa; Chordata; Mammalia; Primates; Hominidae
Description: long non-coding RNA NONHSAT032359.2
Source: RNAcentral